ACCCGGUGAUCUAGCCAUGGGCAGGUUGAAGGUUGGGUAACACUAACUGGAGGACCGAACCGACUAAUGUUGAAAAAUUAGCGGAUGACUUGUGGCUGGGGGUGAAAGGCCAAUCAAACCGGGAGAUAGCUGGUUCUCCCCGAAAGCUAUUUAGGUAGCGCCUCGUGAAUUCAUCUCCGGGGGUAGAGCACUGUUUCGGCAAGGGGGUCAUCCCGACUUACCAACCCGAUGCAAACUGCGAAUACCGGAGAAUGUUAUCACGGGAGACACACGGCGGGUGCUAACGUCCGUCGUGAAGAGGGAAACAACCCAGACCGCCAGCUAAGGUCCCAAAGUCAUGGUUAAGUGGGAAACGAUGUGGGAAGGCCCAGACAGCCAGGAUGUUGGCUUAGAAGCAGCCAUCAUUUAAAGAAAGCGUAAUAGCUCACUGGUCGAGUCGGCCUGCGCGGAAGAUGUAACGGGGCUAAACCAUGCACCGAAGCUGCGGCAGCGACGCUUAUGCGUUGUUGGGUAGGGGAGCGUUCUGUAAGCCUGUGAAGGUGUGCUGUGAGGCAUGCUGGAGGUAUCAGAAGUGCGAAUGCUGACAUAAGUAACGAUAAAGCGGGUGAAAAGCCCGCUCGCCGGAAGACCAAGGGUUCCUGUCCAACGUUAAUCGGGGCAGGGUGAGUCGACCCCUAAGGCGAGGCCGAAAGGCGUAGUCGAUGGGAAACAGGUUAAUAUUCCUGUACUUGGUGUUACUGCGAAGGGGGGACGGAGAAGGCUAUGUUGGCCGGGCGACGGUUGUCCCGGUUUAAGCGUGUAGGCUGGUUUUCCAGGCAAAUCCGGAAAAUCAAGGCUGAGGCGUGAUGACGAGGCACUACGGUGCUGAAGCAACAAAUGCCCUGCUUCCAGGAAAAGCCUCUAAGCAUCAGGUAACAUCAAAUCGUACCCCAAACCGACACAGGUGGUCAGGUAGAGAAUACCAAGGCGCUUGAGAGAACUCGGGUGAAGGAACUAGGCAAAAUGGUGCCGUAACUUCGGGAGAAGGCACGCUGAUAUGUAGGUGAAGUCCCUCGCGGAUGGAGCUGAAAUCAGUCGAAGAUACCAGCUGGCUGCAACUGUUUAUUAAAAACACAGCACUGUGCAAACACGAAAGUGGACGUAUACGGUGUGACGCCUGCCCGGUGCCGGAAGGUUAAUUGAUGGGGUCAGCGCAAGCGAAGCUCUUGAUCGAAGCCCCGGUAAACGGCGGCCGUAACUAUAACGGUCCUAAGGUAGCGAAAUUCCUUGUCGGGUAAGUUCCGACCUGCACGAAUGGCGUAAUGAUGGCCAGGCUGUCUCCACCCGAGACUCAGUGAAAUUGAACUCGCUGUGAAGAUGCAGUGUACCCGCGGCAAGACGGAAAGACCCCGUGAACCUUUACUAUAGCUUGACACUGAACAUUGAGCCUUGAUGUGUAGGAUAGGUGGGAGGCUUUGAAGUGUGGACGCCAGUCUGCAUGGAGCCGACCUUGAAAUACCACCCUUUAAUGUUUGAUGUUCUAACGUUGACCCGUGAUCCGGGUUGCGGACAGUGUCUGGUGGGUAGUUUGACUGGGGCGGUCUCCUCCUAAAGAGUAACGGAGGAGCACGAAGGUUGGCUAAUCCUGGUCGGACAUCAGGAGGUUAGUGCAAUGGCAUAAGCCAGCUUGACUGCGAGCGUGACGGCGCGAGCAGGUGCGAAAGCAGGUCAUAGUGAUCCGGUGGUUCUGAAUGGAAGGGCCAUCGCUCAACGGAUAAAAGGUACUCCGGGGAUAACAGGCUGAUACCGCCCAAGAGUUCAUAUCGACGGCGGUGUUUGGCACCUCGAUGUCGGCUCAUCACAUCCUGGGGCUGAAGUAGGUCCCAAGGGUAUGGCUGUUCGCCAUUUAAAGUGGUACGCGAGCUGGGUUUAGAACGUCGUGAGACAGUUCGGUCCCUAUCUGCCGUGGGCGCUGGAGAACUGAGGGGGGCUGCUCCUAGUACGAGAGGACCGGAGUGGACGCAUCACUGGUGUUCGGGUUGUCAUGCCAAUGGCACUGCCCGGUAGCUAAAUGCGGAAGAGAUAAGUGCUGAAAGCAUCUAAGCACGAAACUUGCC
RNAcentral lists this ribosomal RNA (2096 nucleotides) under Escherichia coli. RNAcentral describes it as "partial 23S ribosomal RNA". It matches the Rfam family "Bacterial large subunit ribosomal RNA", at positions 720 to 2798 of the family's 2925-position model. The record is from RNAcentral. Lineage: Bacteria; Pseudomonadati; Pseudomonadota; Gammaproteobacteria; Enterobacterales; Enterobacteriaceae.